GUUUGGUAUUAACCUGCCCGAACAAUAAUAAUAAUAAUAAUAAUAAUGUUUAUUUCAUGAUUAGUCUACAUUCAAAACAAAAUACAAUAAAAAUAAAAACCCAAAGCUCGCGUUUUUUACAUUACCGAAGGACAUGAAAAUUGCCAAAAGAUGGAUCGAAUUAUCUGGACGCAAAGAUCUUGACCUGGGUGCUUCGAAAGACUAUAGAAUGUGUAGUGAGCAUUUUACAGAAAACCAGUUCAAAUGUAUAAAUCCACGGACAUUGCUUUGGCGUGGAAGUAUUCCUCAUGUGAAUGGACCUAAAUCAGAUGUUCUUCCUGAAUCUGAGAUGAUCAUCCAUGAAGAAAGUGUUCAAACGGAUCAAAACGUACCUCUAUCGUUUUGCUAGGUCGAAAACGUCCAACGAAAAAGAUCGACAUCUGAUAGAUCAGAUAUCUUUGCCGAACACUCCAGAUGUGUAUUCCCUCCAAUAUGGAUGUAAUAAACGAACGGUUCAGACAAGUCCGAGCGGUCCGAGGUAAUAACCGAACGCGUUUAUUGUUCAGUUCCUCAGUGUUCUUCCUAGGAAAAAAAAAUGUUCAAAUAUCAAUUUCCAUGCUCUCCCUCAAACUGGUGAUAAAUAUCGUGUUUCGGUGGAAGGGAAAUUGGGGACUUGGGGAGUAAAGUGCUGAUGGAUCGACAAAAAGCUUAGCAACUGAAACUCAAAAUCGGUAAACCAGUGACAAGAAAUAUGAAAGUAUGUGCCCUGCAUUUUAUCGAGAUUUUCCUGAAAUACAGAAAAACAUGCAAAAAUGUUUUGAAUGUUUUCAGAAUAUUAGAAUUUUACUCUCAGAAUAAAUAACACAGUUAAAUUUAUGGAGGCUGUUUCCCCUGGAGGUUUAAUUACUUUCAUUAGUGAACCAUAUGGCGGAAGAAGAUCUGAUGAAAAUAUUUUUCAACAAAUGUGACCUGAUUUUGAAGUUAGAAAGCUCACAGGAUGCUAUUUUGGUGGACAAAGGCUUUUUAAUUGAAAUAAGGAACUGAAUAUUCCUUUCCUUACGUUAAAAAGAGGAUACAUGCAAAUACAAAGAGAUAUAUUGAAGUAGCAAUAAAUGAGAUGCAAAUCAGAGUUAAAGAAGUGGUGCUCACAGGGCCAACCGAUGCCAAAAACCUGCAGUUAUGUUUGCAGGGCAGUGUCUGUGUUCAAGUUAACGCUGGACUAUUGGCUUAUGCAUCAGUAUUUCUAAGUACAAAAGGUGGAAGAACUUAAGGAUGUCUAUCGAGAAUUCCUAAAAAUUUGCUACUCAGCACUGCAGAUCAACAGCAAACUCAUAACAGCAGAGUAGCAUACCUACCAAGAACUCUUACAAGAUAAUUACAAACAAUUAUGUUCCUCACUUUCGGAGCUUUCUAAAGAACCCUUAUGGCCUCACGAUGACACAGGAAGUUUUGAGAGGAACAGUAUGUCUCAUUUUAGUGCUAUAAGUGGCAUAAAUAAGGAAGGUUAUUCUGUUUGCAACAUAUUGAUUCUCAUUUGAUCGACUUGAGAUUUUUAAAUUAUUUCAUUGAAAUAAAAAAUUGUCCUCUAACUUUUAAAUCUGAUUAAAAUCCAUCCAAAGAAUGUCUGCAUAUUAAAGUUAGAGUACAAUAUUAUAUACUUGUACUGCAUACUGCAAAAAGAAAUUAAUCUUCAAAAUUGUCCAUUUAUGUAAUCCCAUUAUUGAAAGAAAUUAUUUUGAAACAUAACCUCUGGUAUCCAACUCUUCACAAUGAUGUUCGUGUGAAGCAUUCAUGAUAUAAUUUUAAUAAGGAUUAGGUAGGUUUAAAAACUCCACUAUUUUGUGAAAAUAAUGUAUCUUUUAUGUAUGAAUGUAAUUAUUCAAAAUUCAGAUGCCAUUUUAUGUUUUUGGAUAUCUAUAUCCUAAAUUAGUUUUCAAUUAGUUAAAUAAUGCCAUUUUAUGUAUUACAUAUGUUCAAAUUUUAUUAUUGUUAAAUUUAUACAUAUAUGAGUAUAUCGAACUAUUGAGUCAAUAGUAUGGGUCGAUAAAUAUAACCCUUGAGUAGCAUUCAUAAAUAACAUUGUUAGAAGUUAUUUUUGAUAUUAUAUUCCUACUUUUAUAUAAAUCCAUCAAUUUUACAUUUGUCAGUAAUAUGGGACCGUUUCGCUAAAGAAGAAACACUUGAGGUGAAUUUGCCUGUUCCAAUUCUUUCAUAUUACUGUCUUUCUAUCCGAAUUGAAUAUUAUGAAUAACAUCCGAUUUGAACUGUCAAUCCCUUCAGUUAUUUGUUAAUGUUCUGAGGAACAAUCUGUUGUGUAUAAAUGUAUAUCUCUGUCUACAUCUACUUACUAAAUAAGCUAUAUUGCUAUACUAUUUGACAUUUUGUGAAAAAACGAUUUUUAUAUUUCAUUUUAAUGAUUUGAUAUAAAUAUAUAUUAUUAUGGUCUAUCAUGACAAUAAAAAUGUGUAUUUUUAGCUUAUUCAAAUCAGAAUUAAGGUAUUAUUGCUUGCAUUCCACUGGUUUGGACCCUCUUUCAUUUUUUCAACUGAGUUAAUUUUUCAUCCUCUUUGUUGCUAUGCAAUUUGAAAUAUAUAUUUCUUUUUAAUGUGAGUUUGAAAGAUACUUUGAGCAUUAUUGAUGAAAUAAAUGUUUGUUGAGUGGGCUGUGAAAAUAAAAAUGUUACAUGUC
Long non-coding RNA from Harmonia axyridis, 2667 nucleotides. RefSeq lists it as uncharacterized. The record is from RefSeq and is a predicted model, not a curated record. Lineage: Eukaryota; Metazoa; Arthropoda; Insecta; Coleoptera; Coccinellidae. The transcript has 5 exons.